RNAcentral lists this long non-coding RNA (3471 nucleotides) under Sorghum bicolor (sorghum). RNAcentral's name for it is "long non-coding RNA (SBIC_LNC015465)". Lineage: Eukaryota; Viridiplantae; Streptophyta; Magnoliopsida; Poales; Poaceae. The record is from RNAcentral.
CAGCAACGUUCGCCACAUGAUUUCGGUUAGUUUAAUUAACAUCCACAGCGUGGGAAGAAUGCUACUCUACUCUACUCUACUAAUUAAUUGGUUGGGUUUGGGGUAAGCAGAGCACUACUACCAGUGCUAUCGCUGUGCAGACAGACAGUAAGCAUAUUACUAGCCAAAAACGCACAUGUUGCCCAUGCCUCUGUGUCUGUCUAUUCUAUCUUUAACAGUACUGUAUCUUUCUUUUUUGUCGAAAAAUGCUUUCUUCCCUUGUUUCUUGUUUCUUUUCUGCUCCACUUUUCAAUCCUCAUAGGCAAGAUCCACAUUGCUAGAACCAUGCAGCCUCACAUAGUCUUUAUUGUUAGUUGACUCGGUGAAAGACAGUUCAGAAUGUUCAAGGCCACCAUCAUUAGCGCCUUGAGUACACAUCUUGAUUGGACAACCUCAGCUGCAAAAAGCGCAAACGGGGAGAGGCGGAGAGCUAGACCAAUCUUGCUAUCAGCCAAGCAAGAUCAUGCAUGGAUGAGGGCGCUCCAGUCUUCUCUCUCAGUCGUCUUGACCACCUCUCAAGCAAAGGCACUGCUGCAGUGCAUCCUGCUCUUUCGGCUGCUCUCCUGCACUACUGCACUAGUACACAGAUGCUGAUGGGCCACAAGACACAGGACAGUGUUGCUGCUCCCUGCUGCUGAAGGCAUCCAGAGGCCCACGGAACAGCUGCCAUGGCAGUGCCUGCGUUGCAUGUGCAGUGCUGGUCUACCUUUUUGGUCCUGAUUAUCCUUGUUUGGUUUCCUCUUUUAAAGUUUAUCAUGCAUGAGUAUUUAGAAAUAUGCAUAGAGUACUAAUAAUACAACUGGAGGGUAGUUUGAGAGACGAAUCUUUUUAAGCUUAAUUAGUCCAUAAUUGGAUAAUAAUUGUCAAAUAAGACGAAACUGCUAUAGUACAUGUUAACCUUUAACACCCCAAAUCAAACACCUCCUUAGAGCAAGACUAAUAUAGCCAACUACUAGUUGUAAGGUUUUUUUUUGCAGAGCUCAUUCAUAUAGUGGUCAGCUCAUCACGAUUAAUAUAUGGUCCACUUGUCUCUCUCGUAAACUUAUUUGGUUCUGGUAAGCUUACAACGUUUCUACACUCUUCUUUUCUUUUCUUCAUUUUAGUGUUUAGCCGGCUCAGUGGCGGAGGGAAGGGGGGCGGAGGGGGGCUUGGCACCCCCAAGCUUCCCAUAACUCCCUUAAUACACCUCAUAGAUUAGAUGUUUAAUUAUCUAAUUAGCUAGUUAAUGAUAUUAUCUGUACUAAGAUUUUUAUUCUUAUUUUACAUUAAUCUCUAAUAGUUUCUUAUACAAAUAGAUAUUUCUAAUAUUUUCUUCAUAUCUUUUAUUUUUAUUAUUGCCUAUCAAACAUCGGUUUGUCUCCUACCACACACUCUAAUUAGCUAGUUAAUUGAAAAUCAGCGUUUUUCUUGUUUAAUCCUUCUGAAUUGAUCUCCAACAAUGGGAUCUAUAUUAUUUAGCAUUAGUCUUCCUAUUAUCUUUCUUAUCUCCUAUGUUUCUAUCAUUAUUCGUCUAAACCCUAAACAAUCAUUUAGCCCGUUGUACUCAACUUUUAAACACUAACAGUGGUAUGGUGUUUCUGUUUAACCUUCUAUUUAAAUGACCAUUUUUACCUGUUUAAGUAAUCGUUUUGUCUAAGACUAAUCGAUAUGUAACUGAUUGUUUGUCAUUUGAUGUUAGGAUCUAGUACUAAUUAAUUUUGCCCCCGUUUAACUACUUGUUUUUAUUGUGAUUCUUUUCUUGGGCAAAGAAAUAGAAUGAUCAAGUGAAGGUUAAAGGCCUGAGACUAGUUAAAUUUCUCUUUUUUUUUAUUUUUUCUACUUUUUUAUAUCGCAACGCAAACGUUUAUUUUGGUGCUAUGUACACAUUUGUUAUAUAAUAUUUUGAUACACAUGAUUGUUUUUUGUUUACACGGCCCCCCUAUGUUUAAAUUCUGGCUCCGCCCGUAAGCCGGCUUACAGCAUGUUAUUAUACUUACUCUUAGUGGGAGCAUGCAGUAAUUGUUGGCGUGGUCUGUGGAGCGGUAGUAUAUGUGAAAGACGUACAGUUCAAACAAAGAUUCUGUACACGAUGGAUGAGGCCUUUGUUUAGUUCUAAAUUUUUUUUUAGCGAAAUAAGCACUAUAACACUUUUAUUUGUAUUUGAUAAAUAUUGUCCAAAUAUAAACUAACUAGGCUCAAAAGAUUCGUAUCGCAAAUUACAGACAAAUUGUGUAAUUAGUUAUUAUUUUUAUCUAUAUUUGAUGCUCUAUGCAUGUGCCGUAAGAUUCGAUGCGACAAGAAAUCUAAAAAAAUUUAGAAUUUUUUAGAACUAAUAAACAAGGCCUGAGUUACAUUUGCAAGUCUAGCCUACUACGGCCUUGUUUACUUCCAAAAAAUUUUGCAAAAUAGGAAUAGUAGCAUUUUUGUUUGUAUUUGACAAAUAUUGUCCAAUUAUGCAUUAACUAGUCUCAAAAGAUUCGUCUCGUCAAUUUCGACCAAACUGUGCAAUUAGUUUUUAUUUUCAUCUAUAUUUAAUACUCCAUGCAUACAUCUAAAGAUUCGAUGUGACGGGGAAUCUCGAAAAUUUUGCAAAAUUUUUGGGGAACUAAACAAGGCCUACAUCUACGUACAUGCUACUACAUCCAAUUCAUUCUUUCCUUGGUCCUUUGAAAAAGACUACGGGCAGGCACUUCGUUUCAUGAUCCAUCGGCUUGCCUGUUGCUUCCUUGCCGGCAUGGCGUGCUGUACCUUCAAUUGACUUCAGUAUAUUCCUGUCUCUUAACAAACUACUAACAGCGUACUACGAGCUACCCAUUUGAAAACUCAAAGAGCAUGAAAUGGCAUUACUCGUGUAGUAUUUCAAAAUAUCCCCUCGAUCUCCUCUCGAUGAAACACGUACAGUAUGUAUGUUCUCGAAGAAGAAAAAGAAAAGAAACAGCCUGCUUAUUAGCCACUACCUAGAGUUGUGUUGCCCAGAAACAAUGGAGUAUAGAACUUGGAGCCGGUAAGGCUCCAUCAGUUGAGUUGAUAGCUUGCAAAUCAUGCUGUCAAGGCAGAUCGAUCCCCCCCACCACCAUGUUUUCUCACUUCCAUGUCAGAAAUACCACUAGCAAAAGUCGGAAAAGCCUUUUCUGCACUUUAUGCGCCACAUUUCACAAAGGGACAACUACCAUCAGAUCGAUGUAGUACAGUACACUGGCAAGCGUCAACAAUACACUACGGAGUAGUACGUACAUUGCAGCUUUGACGGCCUGCUCGGCUGCUCGUGCUCGUAAAGUUCUGCAAUUCCCAAGGCCAGAGUACAAUGGAACAAAAGCUUGCGAAAUGAUUGAACAGGCAGCCACAAACCACAGUUAUACGUAUAUGUCUCAAAAUUCUCAAUUAAUUUGAGCAAUUGGUUUCAGCAAUCAGCAUUUGAUGCUGUAGAUGUUGACAUCCUGACCAGUAACAGUA